UACAGAGGUCUCAAGCGUUGUUCGGAUUCAUUGGGCGUAAAGGGUGCGUAGGUGGCGCUGUAAGUCAGGUGUGAAAUUUCGGAGCUUAACUCCGAAACUGCAUUUGAUACUGCGGUGCUUGAGGACUGGAGAGGAGACUGGAAUUUACGGUGUAGCAGUGAAAUGCGUAGAGAUCGUAAGGAAGACCAGUGGCGAAGGCGGGUCUCUGGACAGUUCCUGACGCUGAAGCACGAAGGCCAGGGGAGCAAACGGG
This 253-nucleotide ribosomal RNA is filed under the name uncultured bacterium. RNAcentral's name for it is "partial 16S ribosomal RNA". It matches the Rfam family "Bacterial small subunit ribosomal RNA", at positions 524 to 776 of the family's 1533-position model. The record is from RNAcentral.